RNAcentral lists this long non-coding RNA (922 nucleotides) under Apteryx rowi (Okarito brown kiwi). RNAcentral describes it as "lncRNA (ENSARWG00000004998.1)". Lineage: Eukaryota; Metazoa; Chordata; Aves; Apterygiformes; Apterygidae. The record is from RNAcentral.
CUAAACUAUCAUGGCUGCAACACAACUGCUCUGACAUGUGAAGAACAUACAUUGGCUUUCAGAUUACUUGUCAAGUCUCCAAUGUUUCCGCAGCAAGGCUGGAGGCCAGCCUUCUCUCUCGGCUCUGCAGAGAAAACCCGGAGUUGCUCCCGCCUUACACCAGUGGAGAAAGCAGCAGAGUUUACCCCCAGGCACUGCCCAUCACAGAUAUGAAAGGAGCAGCACAGACAUCGAGGGAAAACAGUCAGGGCCGAUGCUAUGGCCAAGGAUAUCAGACCUGCCAUGCACUUCAGCUUCACUGCUCACCAUUGGUGCCCCCUGGGCUUGCUCAGGGCACAGAAUCUACAGAGACUUCAGCUCACAGACCAUCAGGCAGCAAACCCAUGACCUCCUGUGGAAGGCACAGCUCAGAAGCCUGGAGAUUGGGAAGCAAAAAUCAAUACAGGCUGGCAGGUGAUCAAGUUGCUUGACAGUGGUGUUGAGGAGAGAAACAGAGAGAAAGAGAGAGAGAAAGCGGAUGGAGAGCGAGGACAGAGGUGACUAAGUACCCUGAACUACAGGCCCCAGCUCGGAGGGCCCAGCUCGUCCCAGCUGCAAGCACAGCGGUGCAGUAACAUCGCUGCCACAGGCAUGUCUGGCGCCCACGGCUGCCCAGGAUGAARGCAGGGGUAUUUUAUCACACACACCCAUGCCGUGGCCUCUGAGCACCCAGCAAUGCAAUCCUGCACCCCACCACCACUCAGCCCUCUUACAAGUGAGACAGAGCUGCCACAGGUCACAGCCAGCUUGGAGAUUGCCUACAAAACCCCUCACAGCCACUUGGUUUCCURCCAGGAGAGACCGACACUGCAUCAGCUGGGGUCCCUGUUUGCCCAUCGUUUGCGAAAGCCCCCGUUCAUGAGCCCACCUGCACUGUGCAGAA